This 4165-nucleotide ribosomal RNA is filed under the name Triticum aestivum (bread wheat). RNAcentral's name for it is "partial small subunit ribosomal RNA". Lineage: Eukaryota; Viridiplantae; Streptophyta; Magnoliopsida; Poales; Poaceae. The record is from RNAcentral.
GGGAAGAGGCACAGGUAUACAUCGACGGUGCCCUCUCGCCGCUGACUGAGUGACUCAGUGACCAGAGAGACGGCCAGAAGGGUGAGGAGCCGGUAGGGCAGGUGGCGUUUAGGUAGCGUCGAUGGCGGCCGCCCCUCGUAGAGAGGAAGCGGCGGGCGGCAGGCCGCGGCAUCACUGCCGGCCGGCGGCGGUCUAGACCCCAGUCCGCUCUCUUCCUCUGGGUGGUUAGAGCUUAGGUGGUAAAGGGAGAGACGCAUUGUCUCCCUAAGCCCGCCGCGCGCGUAGCGGUAACGAGCCCUGAGCCCUCGAGAUUUGUCGGUCGGUCGGUCGGUCGGUACCGCCUGGACCGCCAGCCCGACAGGUUCUGCCACCACCGCCUCCGCGACUGGUUCCACGUCAGCCGGUAGCUGCUCCUGUUGUUCGAGGCCGUGUUCCGCGUCGCCCUGGACCACUGGUAGUGGGAGCUCAAGCUCUACUACGUCAGGAAGGACUUGCAGCGGUUGCCGCCCUCCCGGCGGCGGUACUUGUUGGACCACUCCUGGACCCACUCCGUGCAGGCGCUCGACCGGAUGCUGGACCUCCUGACGCACCUCAAGCAGCAGGUGGACCUGCCGUUCGGCCAGAAGACCGCGGCGGACGAGGGCCGCACGCACCAGCCGGGCGACGGCGACCUGGUCCGCCACCGCCUCUAUCUCCAGUAGUUCCCGUCCCGGCUCCUCGACUCGCGGACGAUGAGCGCGAUGUCGACGUAGCCGCUCGGACAGAGGUUGGAGCAGUACGACGUCGUCGUUGUCCGAAGGCCGGCCCGGCGGCUGCGUCGUCGCCGGCUGUACGAUCAGCUCCGUGCCCUAAGCCGCUUUUCCGUCGUUAAGGACCCACUAGAGCGGGUCAACUAGUGGUUGUUCCUAUUUCUGGAAGUCCACUAGAGCCACACCCCUUGUACGCCACUAGAACCCUGUUGGAGGUAGUAGUCCUUCCGCAUGUUACUAGGCCUCUAGACGGCCUCGAAGCGGACGGCGCAGACCCACUUCGAGUACGUAGGAAAGUUAGGGGUGCUCAAGCACGCCGCCAAGUACCGUGUCCAGAUGCGGCGUCUGCGAACGCAGCUGUUCCUUCCUCGUCUACAACCACAUGUACAGGACUGCUUUUACCUCCGGUACGUCCUUCUACACCCACACGAGUCUGCACUCAAACACGUCCUUCAGUUGUGGUUCUGAAUGGAGCAACACAACCUCUUGGAUUGACUGUACCAUCUAACCCUACGACACUCCUGCAAGGAUGGACUGUACUUCUUACCGUCGACCUAGUAGCACAGCUGCGUCGUUAAACUCUAACGUUCGGACACAUAGCCUGUACGAAUGGUUGGUGACCUCGAGUUCGUCAUGAGUGGACUCGUGAGCCAAACACGUAAGAAGUUCCUCCCAAGAGUUCUGAUACCUGGGUUUCUUCUCUUUGGUCACCACACACUUCACUCGAGUUUAAACAGGAACCUUUUUUAAGGGAGGAGGUUAUAAUUUCCCUAACUCCUGACCUACCUUUUAAUAGGGGAACAACCUGCACUCAAUCUUUACUUACUCGAAGCGUCGAUAUGUCGGUCCCGUGCAAAGUCGUUAAGAGGUCAAUAGAGACAAACCCCCUAUCGACCGUAACCCUUUAGUCGAGAACAAUCUUGGAACAUGAUACUGUCUUACGAAGUGUCGUUGGUUAAAUUGUUCAUGUCAACCCACCUACAUAGUGUAGGUAAGUUAAAUUCCCUAAAAAGAGCCUCGAAUGAAAACCUAGUAGUAAGUCUUUUCCUAGGGUAAUUUCUCACGGCCCUCGAUGACUCGGUUUUGGUCACAGAGCACCAAUAACUACUAGAGGUCAGGUUUCUUCUUACCCUGAAUUAUGUCAGACGUAACCAUAGAUCUGGAAGAAGUUCACAAUAGUAACAAUAAUGUUGACUUCGGUCGCAACGGUGUAUAACGUGUUUAUUGCUUCCCGUUCAUAAAUUACAGUUUCCAGAUCUUCGACAUCGCCGGUACCUAGAGAAGUCCUUUCUCCAUGUAUCCUUCUUAGGAAGUAGGGGAAAUUUCCUGGUGCUUCUAUACCUCGAUCUUCUCGAAUAAAACUUCACACCUCCAGAAGGGUUUCACUAUCAAAGAUAUCGACGGAAUAACCGGUGUGUCUGUCAUUGUAACUACCUAUGACAAGCGAGUAACUUAGUUUUUAAAUACGUCGUAGAUCUCUGGUUAGGCCUAAUACUCACAGAGUUCCCGGACAAACUAACCUACGUGAGCAUGAAGGCAUGAACGGGUCUAAGUGAGUUCGGUACGUAGAAGAUGGACAGUUAAAAAGGAGCCGUGGUGCCGUAAGCCGUUUCCGCUGAUCAUUCCUCCACCUAACGUCUUCCAAUGACAUCUCUGUCACUACUUCUUAGACGACAACUGUCUCCCCUCUUGAAGAAGAGGUUCGAGGAGCUCGACUCGUAUUAAGUCGUCUAUGGUGUCAAUCAGUGGUGACGUAUGUUACUGUGGUCGUACCAGAGCACGGUCCAGUUACCGAAGUAGGCGCUCAUGUAACAGAGCGCGUCUUACCUUCUCUUGGAACACAAACUUGAGCCCGGGUUCACGCAGGAUUGGUGGGUGGCGUGUCCCUCUGUGGAAUAGUAUAACGCUCUGACCCUGUCUCUGUUCUAACACAAACUCUCGUAGCUGAAGAGUGCCGAUGCGAGCGACUGUCACAAACCUUUCACCCUUAGUAAGAAGCAGAGGUUUUCAUACUCCGACGAAGCCCACGAACUAGACCUCCUGCGUGACCCACAUUUCCUACUUCUAGAACUCUUCUACCACUUCGCCGACGCAGCGGACUUCAAAGAGAGAAAUGCUCCUACGCCACUCUAUAAGGUAGACGGUUCGAGCGAGCCGCUAGAGUCCGUCGAGGUCUGAGACCUACACUCCGUGUGGAGGUAUGAGUUUGACGGUCGCUCGUAGUGUUCCGAUGUCUUCGAAGUCAUAUAGGUGCGGCCGUGGUGGCAGGCUCGUAGUCGCGACGGACGGGGUAGGUCGUCCAACGGUUUCAAGGUGUCUGCGGCGCCGGACAAACCAUAGUUCCACGGGUUUCCCUAGCCUUUUGACUGCCGCGACGUGUGCGAGCCGCAGCAGCUGCAGCCACGAAGUCCUCCCUUCCGGCAGCACCUUCUCGAGUCCUUUGAGUGGGUCGACGCGUUCGAGCCUCACAGACCGUAAUCAUCCGUAUUGUCGUUCCUGAAGAAGAGACGUUGGAGUCCGGAACACGUAGACCUUAGGAACGACCACGCCGACCCGUUCCUGUCGGUUCCGACGGACCUGCUUUAGUGGGACGGUACCCUCUUGGAGGCCUCGGAGUGUGAGGUGCCCGAAGUUCUGUUCGACGGUGGUAGUCUCUUGGAGUCGUUCGAGUACUUCGACCUAGACCUCUACCUGCGGAAUUUCCUUCUGCUGUAGCUCAAGGAUCGGUUGGAUAGCCUCGAUACGUAGGACGCAGAGGCUCAGCCUGUCGAAGUCCUACCAUUCGAGGUAAAAGUGCGGUUCUACAUACCCCUCCUCGACCAGUGGAAGUUCUUCCACUUCUAGGAGCUCUAGCGGAGGCCGCGGUCGCUCGAUGUGCACUGGAAGCCCAGCUCCAGCUACUUCUCGGAGCUCGACGACUUCUAGCUGACGAGGUCGCGCAGCAUGGUAGAGUGCCCGGACUUAAAAGACAGGCUCGAGUUCCUCCAGAACGAGGUCCCAUGGUUACUACUCCGCUAGUUCUCGUUGAACCUCUCGGUCGAACGGUUGGUAGGGUUCCGCGGAUGGCACUUCGACCUCCUUGACGGCGCAAGUAGGACUUCCCAACUGCGGUAGAGACAAAUAAAGUGAACAAAAGCGAAUGGUGCUCGAGACUAGGUCAGCGACGUUAGUCAGGAAGUCGAACAAAUGGAAACAAAAAAACACGUAGUCAUGACAACAACUUUAGAACUGACAAUGUUCAAUGUUGGUACACAAGGAACUCUUUACAUGAUGCAAGUUAAGAGUAUACCCAUGAACCUAUGCACGAGUAGAAGUUCCACUCCGUACCAGCUACACUUACGACUACAACCCUUGCUCGGACAAUGGUCGUUAUAUUGUAGUAGAACGACCCCUCCGGAGCCGUCCCGGGCUCGUGG